GACGAACGCUGGCGGCGUGCCUAACACAUGCAAGUCGAACGGAAAGGCCCUGCUUUUGUGGGGUGCUCGAGUGGCGAACGGGUGAGUAACACGUGAGUAACCUGCCCUUGACUUUGGGAUAACUUCAGGAAACUGGGGCUAAUACCGGAUAGGAGCUCCUGCUGCAUGGUGGGGGUUGGAAAGUUUCGGCGGUUGGGGAUGGACUCGCGGCUUAUCAGCUUGUUGGUGGGGUAGUGGCUUACCAAGGCUUUGACGGGUAGCCGGCCUGAGAGGGUGACCGGCCCCAUUGGGACUGAGAUACGGCCCAGACUCCUACGGGAGGCAGCGGUGGGGAAUAUUGCACAAUGGGCGGAAGCCUGGUGCAGCAACGCCGCGUGCGGGAUGACGGCCUUCGGGUUGUAAACCGCUUUCGCCUGUGACGAAGCGUGAGUGACGGUAAUGGGUAAAGAAGCACCGGCUAACUACGUG
This 468-nucleotide ribosomal RNA is filed under the name uncultured bacterium. RNAcentral describes it as "partial 16S ribosomal RNA". It matches the Rfam family "Bacterial small subunit ribosomal RNA", at positions 28 to 507 of the family's 1533-position model. The record is from RNAcentral.